AAGUUUGAUCAGUGGCUCAGGACGAACGCUGGCGGCGUGCCUAACACAUGCAAGUCGAGCGAGUGAAUCUCCUUCGGGAGUGAAGCUAGCGGCGGACGGGUGAGUAACACGUGGGCAACCUGCCUCAUAGAGGGGAAUAGCCUUCCGAAAGGAAGAUUAAUACCGCAUAAGAUUGUAGCUUCGCAUGAAGUAGCAAUUAAAGGAGCAAUCCGCUAUGAGAUGGGCCCGCGGCGCAUUAGCUAGUUGGUGAGGUAACGGCUCACCAAGGCGACGAUGCGUAGCCGACCUGAGAGGGUGAUCGGCCACAUUGGGACUGAGACACGGCCCAGACUCCUACGGGAGGCAGCAGUGGGGAAUAUUGCACAAUGGGGAAACCCUGAUGCAGCAACGCCGCGUGAGUGAUGACGGCCUUCGGGUUGUAAAGCUCUGUCUUCAGGGACGAUAAUGACGGUACCUGAGGAGGAAGCCACGGCUAACUACGUG
RNAcentral lists this ribosomal RNA (483 nucleotides) under uncultured bacterium. RNAcentral's name for it is "bacterial SSU rRNA". It matches the Rfam family "Bacterial small subunit ribosomal RNA", at positions 9 to 507 of the family's 1533-position model. The record is from RNAcentral.